Molecule: transfer RNA, 72 nt
Filed under: Pangasius djambal
Lineage: Eukaryota; Metazoa; Chordata; Actinopteri; Siluriformes; Pangasiidae
Description: tRNA-Glu
Source: RNAcentral
UCCCUGGAGGACUAGUGGUUAGGCCACAGCAUGCUCACCGCUGCAGCCAGGGUUUGAUUCCCGGCCAAGAAA